ACGUAGGGUGCAAGCGUUGUCCGGAAUUACUGGGUGUAAAGGGAGCGCAGGCGGACCGGCAAGUUGGAAGUGAAAACUAUGGGCUCAACCCAUAAAUUGCUUUCAAAACUGCUGGCCUUGAGUAGUGCAGAGGUAGGUGGAAUUCCCGGUGUAGCGGUGGAAUGCGUAGAUAUCGGGAGGAACACCAGUGGCGAAGGCGACCUACUGGGCACCAACUGACGCUGAGGCUCGAAAGCAUGGGUAGCAAACAGGAUUAGAUACCCUGGUAGUCCAUGCCGUAAACGAUGAUUACUAGGUGUUGGAGGAUUGACCCCUUCAGUGCCGCAGUUAACACAAUAAGUAAUCCACCUGGGGAGUACGACCGCAAGGUUG
This 372-nucleotide ribosomal RNA is filed under the name uncultured bacterium. RNAcentral's name for it is "bacterial SSU rRNA". It matches the Rfam family "Bacterial small subunit ribosomal RNA", at positions 525 to 896 of the family's 1533-position model. The record is from RNAcentral.